Molecule: long non-coding RNA, 1876 nt
Filed under: Macaca fascicularis (crab-eating macaque)
Lineage: Eukaryota; Metazoa; Chordata; Mammalia; Primates; Cercopithecidae
Description: lncRNA (ENSMFAG00000052588.1)
Source: RNAcentral
GGACUACAGGCAUCCGCCACCACGCCCGCCCAGAGCCGGCCUGGUUCAAGCAUUUCUCAGAAAUUUCCAGCGCACGUUCCCCAUCUGAAGGCUCACACCUGCGGGAGCAGAACACACUCCACACGGGUGCCUCCAGCACACGGAACUUGCGCUCCCGGAAGCUUACGACAUGGUCAUUGUUGAAGUGUUCCCCUCGAAGUAGCUGGGCGUGGUGGCGCGCUCGUGGAGUCCCAGCUACUCGAGAGGCUGAGGUAGGAGCAUCGCUUGAACCCAGGAGGAGGGAGUUGCAGUGAGACGAGAUCGCGCCACUGCACUCCAGCCUGGUAACAAAGCGAGACUCCGUCUCAAAAAAAAAAAAAAAAAAAAUCCUUAAGGACAGCCCAGAGGCUGGCGACACCUUCACGGGCCCCUCCAUGGAUGCGCCUCUGAGGUCACCGCUCCGGAAGGUCCCAGACUGGCGUGGAAACCUAUUACUAAGUGGGGCGCGUGGACACCGGCAGGUCCCGCUCUAAAGGAGUCCCGCGGAUGCUUGGGCCUCAGUUCCUCUUUCCUGCCCAAGUAUUCCCCCCGCUCUGACGAAACAGGCAACUUCCAGACUGUGGCGUUAGCUCAGCGACUGCGCUGAGCCCCGGGAAAGAACCUGGUCCCGACGGCCAGCUGACCCAGGUUAGUUGCAGAGAUGCUGACUACCCCGCUUCGCUGGCUGCUGCGAGGUCACAUGAGGCCCUCGGUGUGACGUGAGGUCCUCGGGCGCAGCAGGGAGCGUGGCAGCCAACUCUUUCUGCGCGUGCGCGAGCGCGAGCAUCUGCUGUUGUUUAGGCAGAACGGUCGCAAAUCGCACCCUCAGUACUGGCCCGCUUUGCUCUUCUACCUUGCCCUCCUAGUCCGGAUCCAAGAUCCCAAGUAAUCUUCCUACCCCUGCACCGGGGCCGGGACCAGGCAGCCAAGAGCGGCGGAGACAGACUGCUGGGACCGCGACAUCUCCUCUCCUGUUCGCUGCCAUAUGCCCGCGUCGUGUUGAGCGGCCUGCGGACACUGACAGCCUGCCCGGUCCGCUGAGUGUUUGAUCCCCAUCCUCGCAACGCUCUGGAGUGGGCGGUGCAGCCAGUCUUCUUUCAUUCUUAUGAGGCAAGAGAGAGACCCUCUCAUAUUGUUUUAUACUCUGUACCUGUUUAAAAAACAAAACGAAACAAAACAAAACAAGGAAGUGAAACCAAAGACAGGCAGCCCGGCGCCAGGCCCCAAACCGGACCUGGACCUGCCUGGCCUAAACCUAGUAGUUAAAAAUCAACUCAUGACUUAAAAACCGAUGUUGUCCUUAGAUUCCCCGCGUCGUAUAGAAGAACAUUGUGGGCCAGGGGCGGUGGCUCACGCCUGUAAUCCCAGCACUUUGGGAGGCCAAGGCGAGCGGAUCACCUGAGGUCAGGAGUUCAAAACCAGCCUGACCAACAUGGAGAAACCCUGUCUUUACUAAAAAUACAAAAUUGGCCAGGCGUGGUGGCACAUGCCUAUAAUCCCAGCUACUAGGGAGGCUGAGGCAAGAGAAUCGCUUGAACCUGGGAGGCAGAGGUUUCGGUGAGCCGAGAUCAUGCCAUUGCACUUCACCCUGGGCAAGAAGAGUGAAACUCCAUCUCAAAAAAAAAAAAAAAAAAAAAACAUUGUGAAACUCCCUGCUCUGUUCUGUUUCUCUCUGACCACCGGUGCAUGCAGCCCCUGUCACAUACCCACUGCUUGCUCAAAUCAAUCACUACCUUUUCAUGUGAAAUCUUUAGUGUUGUGAGCCCUUAAAAGGGACAGAAAUUGUGCACUCAGGGAGCUCGGAUUUUAAGGCAGUAGCUUGCCGAUGCUCCCAGCUGAAUAAAGCCCUUCCUCCUAC